RNAcentral lists this long non-coding RNA (1356 nucleotides) under Cairina moschata (Muscovy duck). RNAcentral describes it as "domestica (muscovy Duck (domestic type)) lncRNA (ENSCMMG00000008486.1)". Lineage: Eukaryota; Metazoa; Chordata; Aves; Anseriformes; Anatidae. The record is from RNAcentral.
AUGUCCCCCGCCUCCCUCCUCCCCCUCCCCAGCAACAUGGCGCCGCCGAGGCCCCGCGCCUGCCGCCGCGCCGAUUUCGUAACGGAGCCGCCGGCCCGAGCCCGGGCCCCGGCCCGCAGCCCCCCGCCCGCAGCGCCCCCCGCACACGCCCGCGACCCCCCCCACCCGCCCCCAAAAGGCCGCCGCCCAGCGCGGCCCGGAGAGGGAGAGGGGGAGGAAGAGGAGGGCCCGCCGCCCCCGCCCCUCCGCGAACAAAAGCCCACGCGGAGGGGCCCGGGACGCGCUCGCAGCUCGCGGCGCUGCCCCCUCCCCGGGGCCCCGCGCCCCCUCCCCCGGGGGGCGGCGGAGCACAAAGCCGGGAACUCCCCGAGAGCCCCCCCCCGCAGCACCACGGCCGCGCACACCCCUCCCUCCUCCUCCUCCUCCUCCAUCGCCUCCUCCUCCUCUUUUACCGCCGCCGCCGUUCCCCGAGCUGGGCGUGGGCGGCGAGCCGAGCCCCCGAGCCGCCGCGGCCUCUGCCCCAUGUGCUGCUUUGUUCUGCUGCCGCCAGCUCCCCCCCGCGCCGAGCCGGGCACGCCACAAACUUUCCCGGACGGGGCCUUCCUCCCCGCUCCCUCCCGCCCCAAAAGCCCCCCCCCGGGGGGCUGCAGCCCCCUCCCCGGCACCCUCCCCCCCCCGCCCAGCUCCCACCCCCGGCCCCCAGCCGCUGCCAUUGUGCUGCGCUCCGCUCCGCGCCGCCCGCCCCGCGAGGCUCGGCCGCUCCCGCAGCCCGCCCGGCGGCUCGCCCCGGGCCCGGAUGGCGGCGGCGAGGGGCGAGGGGAGAAAGGAGGGGAAGGGCUGCGGGGGCGAGGGAGGGGGGCGCCGGGACUCACGGCGGCAGCGAGCGGCGCGCACGCUUUUCAAAUCUCCCUCAUUCCGGCCCCUCCCGCCCCGUCUGCGAGCUCGGGAGGCGCCGCCGCCGCGGCGGCCGCUGCCAUGCGCCCUGCUCCCGCUCCCCCCUCGCCGCCCACCCACCCACCCACACCCCCCUGCCGCCGCCGCCGCCCCCCGGCCGCCCCGAGCCGCCCGCGGAGCCCCCCGCACCGCCGCCCGCCCCCCGCACCGCCGGGCGGCUCACAACAGGUCUCCCGGCAGCGACACUCACCAGCGAGCGAGCGGCGGCCGCCACCAUCUUCCCUCCUCCUCCUCCUCCUCCCUGCGGGGCGAGGCGAGGCGAGGCAGCGCCGCCGCUGCCCGGCGGGGCGGAUGGGGGGCGGGGGGGGAAGCGGCGCCAAGGCCGGUCCCGGUGCUGGUCCCGGUCCCGGUCCCGGUCCCGGUCCCGGCAGCGGCGGCAGGGCUCGGGGACCAUGUGGGUGA